This 498-nucleotide ribosomal RNA is filed under the name Staphylococcus epidermidis. Its description in RNAcentral is "bacterial SSU rRNA". It matches the Rfam family "Bacterial small subunit ribosomal RNA", at positions 1 to 486 of the family's 1533-position model. The record is from RNAcentral. Lineage: Bacteria; Bacillati; Bacillota; Bacilli; Caryophanales; Staphylococcaceae.
UUGAGUUUGAUCGUGGCUCAGGAUAACGCUGUCGGCGUGCCUAAUACAUGCAAGUCGAGCGAACAGACGAGGAGCGUUGCUCCUCUGACGUUAGCGGCGACGGGUGAGUAACACGUGGAUAACCUACCUAUAAGACUGGGAUAACUUCGGGAAACCGGNAGCUAAUACCGGAUAAUAUAUUGAACCGCAUGGUUCAAUAGUGAAAGACGGUUUUGCUGUCACUUAUAGAUGGAUCCGCGCCGCAUUAGCUAGUUGGUAAGGUAACGGCUUACCAAGGCAACGAUGCGUAGCCGACCUGAAGGGUGAUCGGCCACACUGGAACUGAGACACGGUCCAGACUCCUACGGGAGGCAGCAGUAGGGAAUCUUCCGCAAUGGGCGAAAGCCUGACGGAGCAACGCCGCGUGAGUGAUGAAGGUCUUCGGAUCGUAAAACUCUGUUAUUAGGGAAGAACAAAUGUGUAAGUAACUAUGCCACCGUCUUGACGGUACCUAAUCAG